This 216-nucleotide ribosomal RNA is filed under the name uncultured Anoxybacillus sp. RNAcentral describes it as "partial 16S ribosomal RNA". It matches the Rfam family "Bacterial small subunit ribosomal RNA", at positions 1169 to 1382 of the family's 1533-position model. Lineage: Bacteria; Bacillati; Bacillota; Bacilli; Caryophanales; Anoxybacillaceae. The record is from RNAcentral.
GGAAGUGGGGAUGACGUCAAAUCAUCAUGCCCCUUAUGACCCUGGGCUACACACGUGCUACAAUGGGCGGUACAAAGGGUCGCGAACCCGCGAGGGGGAGCCCAAUCCCAAAAAGCCGCUCUCAGUUCGGAUUGCAGGCUGCAACUCGCCUGCAUGAAGCCGGAAUCGCUAGUAAUCGCGGAUCAGCAUGCCGCGGUGAAUACGUUCCCGGGCUUU